UCUCUGGUAGUAUAUCGGUUAGUACACGUGCCUGUCAAGUAUGUUUUCGUGUGAAAGCUGGGUUUGACUCCCAGCCAGAGAG
RNAcentral lists this transfer RNA (82 nucleotides) under Armillaria ostoyae. The record is from RNAcentral. Lineage: Eukaryota; Fungi; Basidiomycota; Agaricomycetes; Agaricales; Physalacriaceae.